CCAGAGUAUGAUGGCCGUGAAUUCGUCGAGCAUGGCACAGAGAAGUGUGUCGUGACUGUAUACAUUGGAUCCAGUCCGCACCAUGUGGAAUGGAGUGUCACUGCUGCUGGGCACAGAUUCAAAGACACCUGCCAAGUUGUCGCUCGCAAGGCAUUGAGGGCCCUGUGUCAGAUCUAUGAAGAAGAAGUGGCCGACACACCGCUCAGAUUCUUUCCGCCCUUUCAGAGAGACCGUCCUGUUUGGAUGGCCAAGAUGCGUGCAUUGGAAGGUCAGCAGCUGCUUGAGGAUGACCCCACAGUCGUGUACCUCACUGCAUACCUGCUCACCCUGGAUGCCCAGUAUGAUUUCUUGGCUCGGCACCAUCGUCAGAUGAUUGCCCGAGUAGAAGAUGCAGAGAAGCGCAACCGUCAGCUCCAUGUGGAUCUCACCACAGCUCAAGCCCGUGCAACUGCAUUGGAAAGUCGUGAAGUCAUUGCUGUUGAAGCCCUGAAGCAAGCCAAGGAUGAGCACGUCCAGAAGUUGAUGGAGGCCUACUUGGUCACCCAUAACCAACGUAGAGCCCUGCGAAUCCAAGAACCCGCUUCAUCCAACCUAGUUCAACCCAUAAGAGCUGAAGACCCGCAGAUUUUUGAAGGUCACCCGGUCUCUAUCAGAGGAGAGAAGAAGGCUUGGGAACUCCCAGAAGGAGCCAUAGUCUUGGAAGGAAUUCCAGUCUCCCCUCAGGCUAUGGAUAAGCAAGAGCACCCUGAGUCCUCUCAAGAUCCCCCGCCAGAGUUGUUUGAGCCCCUCACCAUGAAGAAGAUUCUAGCACCAUCCCUUGAAGUCAAGGAAGAAGCUGCAAGCACCCCGCCAGCACCGCCGCCCUCUGAGGAGCUACAAGAGCCAGUCCAGCUCGAAGAAGAGUUCGACCCCGUUUUGCCACCUCAGUUGCCGCCAGAAGAAGUCAUCAACAUCAGCUCCCUCUUGACCCAUCUCGGAGAUGUCUCAGAUUGAAGUUGUGCGCCAGCCUUGCCAGAAGAGAAGUUGCCUGGUCUGAAGUUAGUUAUGCCAGUCCUCUGCAUGCAUUGGGUAGUGAAGUUUUUCUUCACUUUGGCUAGAGCCCUACAUGUAUGAGAGGUAAUCGUGUAGACUCGUGUUUUGAAAAACUCUAAUUGUGUGGCCCCCUAGGGCAUUUCAAAAUGAAUUUUGCUUGAUGUUUUCUCCCCCUUUUGAGUGCAUAUGUGAUGCU
This 1228-nucleotide unclassified non-coding RNA is filed under the name Zea mays. RNAcentral's name for it is "misc RNA Zm00001eb146290". Lineage: Eukaryota; Viridiplantae; Streptophyta; Magnoliopsida; Poales; Poaceae. The record is from RNAcentral.